GAUGAAGAACGUAGCGAAAUGCGAUACGUAAUGUGAAUUGCAGAAUUCAGUGAAUCAUCGAAUCUUUGAACGCAUAUUGCGCUCUUUGGUAUUCCGAAGAGCAUGCUUGUUUGAGUAUCAGUAAACACCUCAAAGCUUUUGGAUUUUUUAAUCGAAAAGCUUUGGACUUGAGCAAUCCCAACACCAAUCUUUUUGAGAUCGGUGGCGGGUUGCUUGAAAUGCAGGUGCAGCUGGACAUUCUCCUGAGCUAAAAGCAUAUUCAUUUAGUCCCGUCAAACGGAUUAUUACUUUUGCUGCAGCUAACAUAAAGGGAGUUUGACCGUAUUGGCUGACUGAUGCAGGAUUUCACAAGGGUCGGCAACGAUUCUUGUUAAACUCGAUCUCAAAUCAAGUAAGACUACCCGCUGAACUUAAGCAUAUCAAUAAGCGGGGA
Molecule: unclassified non-coding RNA, 433 nt
Filed under: soil metagenome
Description: partial contains 5.8S ribosomal RNA, internal transcribed spacer 2, and large subunit ribosomal RNA
Rfam family: 5.8S ribosomal RNA (bases 1-120)
Source: RNAcentral